UUCUAAGGAAGUAUUGUUCCACUUUACUUAUCAUGGAAGUACAUUUGGAAGUGCACGAGUCUGUGGAAUGUACAGUUUUGUACAAAGGGACAGGCCAGACCUUCCGGCCAUUGCAAUGUCAGUGAGACGGGACGUACACGCGACGCGGGAGACCGUGGGCAACUGCCUCCCAACUUUCCGAUUUGCACAGCCAAACUACGGGCAUGGCGAAAACACUGCGUGUGCCGCGCUGAUAAACCCCAUGCAAUCGGAAUGCACCUGCUCCAGCAGCACAUCUAACUCCAACUCCACAUCCAACUCCCCCCAAGCCGUUAAGCCAACGCUAACGAGAGCAGAACUUGAUGAGCGCUCAACAGUCUUCAGCCUUAUGGAUGGGAGAUGCAUGGUGUGGCAUGGCUAUGAUACUCCGAACAUUUGAUGGGACUGGGGUACGCAAAUAGUAGUUAUAUUUUGCGGCAUGACGUAGGCCGCUUGAGGAUUGCGGUAUUGCGGAACCGAACCGUAGGGACGUGGGGAGGGAUGGCAGGAAGUGACUAGACCGGUGUGCUGUGUUAUGGCCAUGACGCGUGCCGGGCCCGGACCCGGGCCUGUGCCUGCACUUUUCCUGCAUCUCAUUACGGCUGGGGUCACACAUUAAGAACCGUUUUUAAUUGGAGUCCCCUCGAGGAAAUUGGUAUUGGUAUACGUAUCAUUACACAGAAAAGCCGCGAAAAAUGAACAUUGGAAACGGAGAGCGAGAGCGAUAGAGCCCACGAUGGGACGUUGGCACUGACUGAAAUGGAACUGCCUCCACGGCGCCGCGGCGCGAAUGCUGUUGCCAGUUCAUACACCGAACAUGUCGCAAAGGAACUUUUUGGAUUGGAUCCCAGGGUCGUCGGCUCUGGCAUUCGGCUACCGCCGCGUCAUCAUGAGCCAGCCAUGACGCCCAUUCAUACGACGCCGAAUCAAACGCUGGGCUACAGCUUCGAGACGAAGGACCUAUGUAUCGUAAGCUUCGCCACAAACGAAGUCGUAUCCGAUUUCGACCCGCCAGACGGAGUCGUAUCAAAGUAUCCCAGCCGGACAGAAUCGUAUCCCAGCAGGACAGAAUCGCACCCCGCAGCAUCCGAGUAUAACAAGCCAUCGACAACAAGGACUUUGACUAUGGCAACUAAGCGAGCGGCUACGCGGGCUACUGGACUCUAGAUACAUAUCGUUGUUGUUAGGUUUAAGGAUACAUUCGUUCAUACAUUUAGAUAGUAUAUACAAAUUUUGU
This is an RNA transcript of Drosophila persimilis, 1255 nucleotides long. RefSeq lists it as uncharacterized. The record is from RefSeq and is a predicted model, not a curated record. The transcript is spliced from 9 exons. Lineage: Eukaryota; Metazoa; Arthropoda; Insecta; Diptera; Drosophilidae.